UGGGGAAUUUUGGACAAUGGGGGCAACCCUGAUCCAGCAAUGCCGCGUGAGUGAAGAAGGCCUUCGGGUUGUAAAGCUCUUUUGUCAGGGAAGAAACGGUAGUAGCGAAUAACUAUUACUAAUGACGGUACCUGAAGAAUAAGCACCGGCUAACUACGUGCCAGCAGCCGCGGUAAUACGUAGGGUGCAAGCGUUAAUCGGAAUUACUGGGCGUAGAGCGUGCGCAGGCGGUUGUGUAAGUCAGAUGUGAAAUCCCCGGGCUCAACCUGGGAAUUGCAUUUGAGACUGCACGGCUAGAGUGUGUCAGAGGGGGGUAGAAUUCCACGUGUAGCAGUGAAAUGCGUAGAUAUGUGGAGGAAUACCGAUGGCGAAGGCAGCCCCCUGGGAUAACACUGACGCUCAUGCACGAAAGCGUGGGGAGCAAACAGGAUUAGAUACCCUCGUAGUCCCUGAGCGGGCUGGCAAGGCGCAU
This 472-nucleotide ribosomal RNA is filed under the name uncultured bacterium. RNAcentral describes it as "bacterial SSU rRNA". It matches the Rfam family "Bacterial small subunit ribosomal RNA", at positions 355 to 825 of the family's 1533-position model. The record is from RNAcentral.